Small nuclear RNA from Rattus norvegicus (Norway rat), 149 nucleotides. Ensembl annotates it as U1 spliceosomal RNA. The record is from Ensembl. Lineage: Eukaryota; Metazoa; Chordata; Mammalia; Rodentia; Muridae.
ACUGUUACCUGGCAGGGAGAUACCAUGACCUUGAAGACGGUUCUCCCAUGAUGAGACAUGUCCUCUGCACUCUUUAUGAGUUCACUUCCCCAAAUGCAGGAAAUUCAACUGAAUGAUUUGUGCUGGGGGCUGCAUUUGUGCUCCUCUUC